RNAcentral lists this ribosomal RNA (253 nucleotides) under uncultured bacterium. RNAcentral's name for it is "partial 16S ribosomal RNA". It matches the Rfam family "Bacterial small subunit ribosomal RNA", at positions 524 to 776 of the family's 1533-position model. The record is from RNAcentral.
UACGAAGGGGGCUAGCGUUGCUCGGAAUCACUGGGCGUAAAGGAUGCGUAGGCGGGUCUUUAAGUCAGGGGUGAAAUCCUGGAGCUCAACUCCAGAACUGCCUUUGAUACUGAAGAUCUUGAGUUCGGGAGAGGUGAGUGGAACUGCGAGUGUAGAGGUGAAAUUCGUAGAUAUUCGCAAGAACACCAGUGGCGAAGGCGGCUCACUGGCCCGAUACUGGCGCUGAGGCACGAAAGCGUGGGGAGCAAACAGG